This 465-nucleotide ribosomal RNA is filed under the name Vreelandella stevensii. Its description in RNAcentral is "partial 16S ribosomal RNA". It matches the Rfam family "Bacterial small subunit ribosomal RNA", at positions 338 to 795 of the family's 1533-position model. The record is from RNAcentral. Lineage: Bacteria; Pseudomonadati; Pseudomonadota; Gammaproteobacteria; Oceanospirillales; Halomonadaceae.
CCUACGGGAGGCUGCAGUGGGGAAUAUUGGACAAUGGGGGCAACCCUGAUCCAGCCAUGCCGCGUGUGUGAAGAAGGCCCUCGGAUUGUAAAGCACUUUCAGUGAGGAAGAACGCCUGGUGGUUAAUACCCAUCAGGAAAGACAUCACUCACAGAAGAAGCACCGGCUAACUCCGUGCCAGCAGCCGCGGUAAUACGGAGGGUGCGAGCGUUAAUCGGAAUUACUGGGCGUAAAGCGCGCGUAGGUGGCUUGAUAAGCCGGUUGUGAAAGCCCCGGGCUCAACCUGGGAACGGCAUCCGGAACUGUCAAGCUAGAGUGCAGGAGAGGAAGGUAGAAUUCCCGGUGUAGCGGUGAAAUGCGUAGAGAUCGGGAGGAAUACCAGUGGCGAAGGCGGCCUUCUGGACUGACACUGACACUGAGGUGCGAAAGCGUGGGUAGCAAACAGGAUUAGAUACCCCUGUAGUC